UACAGAGGGGGCAAGCGUUGUUCGGAAUUACUGGGCGUAAAGGGCGCGUAGGCGGCCUGUUAAGUCGAACGUGAAAUCCCCGGGCUCAACCCGGGAACUGCGUCCGAUACUGGCAGGCUUGAAUUCGGGAGAGGGAUGCGGAAUUCCAGGUGUAGCGGUGAAAUGCGUAGAUAUCUGGAGGAACACCGGUGGCGAAGGCGGCAUCCUGGACCGGGAUUGACGCUGAGGCGCGAAAGCCAGGGGAGCAAACGGG
This 253-nucleotide ribosomal RNA is filed under the name uncultured bacterium. Its description in RNAcentral is "partial 16S ribosomal RNA". It matches the Rfam family "Bacterial small subunit ribosomal RNA", at positions 524 to 776 of the family's 1533-position model. The record is from RNAcentral.